RNAcentral lists this ribosomal RNA (464 nucleotides) under uncultured bacterium. Its description in RNAcentral is "partial 16S ribosomal RNA". It matches the Rfam family "Bacterial small subunit ribosomal RNA", at positions 29 to 507 of the family's 1533-position model. The record is from RNAcentral.
ACGAACGCUGGCGGCGUGCUUAACCCAUGCAAGUCGAACGGAAAGGCCCCUUUGGGGGUACUCGAGUGGCGACCGGGUGAGUAACACGUGAGUAACCUGCCCUUGACUUCGGGAUAACUUCAGGAAACUGGGGCUAAUACCGGAUAGGAAUCCUUGCUGCAUGGUGGGGGUUGGAAAGCUUCGGCGGUUUUGGAUGGACUCGCGGCUUAUCAGCUUGUUGGUGGGGUAGUGGCUUACCAAGGCUUUGACGGGUAGCCGGCCUGAGAGGGCGACCGGCCACAUUGGGACUGAGAUACGGCCCAGACUCCUACGGGAGGCAGCAGUGGGGAAUAUUGCACAAUGGGCGGAAGCCUGAUGCAGCAACGCCGCGUGCGGGAGGACGGCCUUCGGGUUGUAAACCGCUUUCAGCAGGGGCGAAGCUUGUGGUGACGGUACCUGCAGAAGAAGCACCGGCUAACUACGUG